GACGAACGCUGGCGGCGUGCUUAACACAUGCAAGUCGAACGGAAAGGCCCUGCUUUUGUGGGGUGCUCGAGUGGCGAACGGGUGAGUAACACGUGAGUAACCUGCCCUUGACUUUGGGAUAACUUCAGGAAACUGGGGCUAAUACCGGAUAGGAGCUCCUGCUGCAUGGUGGGGGUUGGAAAGUUUCGGCGGUUGGGGAUGGACUCGCGGCUUAUCAGCUUGUUGGUGGGGUAGUGGCUUACCAAGGCUUUGACGGGUAGCCGGCCUGAGAGGGGGACCGGGGACAUUGGGACUGCGGGACGGACCAGAAUCCUACGGGAGGCAGCAGUGGGGAGUAUUGCACAAUGGGGGGAAGCGUGAUGCAGCAACGCCGCGUGCGGGAUGACGGCCUUCGGGUUGUAAACCGCUUUCGCCUGUGACGAAGCGGGAGUGACGGUAAUGGGUAAAGAAGCACCGGCUAACUACGUG
Molecule: ribosomal RNA, 468 nt
Filed under: uncultured bacterium
Lineage: Bacteria
Description: partial 16S ribosomal RNA
Rfam family: Bacterial small subunit ribosomal RNA
Source: RNAcentral